Non-coding RNA from Pocillopora verrucosa, 305 nucleotides. The record is from RefSeq and is a predicted model, not a curated record. Lineage: Eukaryota; Metazoa; Cnidaria; Anthozoa; Scleractinia; Pocilloporidae.
UGAUAGUAUGCCAAAACAGUACUAACACUUUGCGCCUUCUGUGCACUUCUCGCUUUCAGUUCGCUAGAAAAUUACUCCAUCAUCGAAGAAACUCAACUCUGAAAGGGUGAGUGAUACCUGAUAUUCUGCUUGCUGCUCCAGAGUAAACUGUCAUGAAGUAAAAUUAGAGGAGCCAACAAGCGUGGUUUGAAAUUGUCAUCACUUAACCGGAAAUUAACAAAUUCAGUUGACGCCUCCAUCUUUCAGGAUGCUUCAGCCACAAAUUGUUUUCCUAUUAGUGAUGUCAUUUGGGGUACAAUGCUUAG